RNAcentral lists this ribosomal RNA (257 nucleotides) under uncultured bacterium. RNAcentral describes it as "partial 16S ribosomal RNA". It matches the Rfam family "Bacterial small subunit ribosomal RNA", at positions 1243 to 1500 of the family's 1533-position model. The record is from RNAcentral.
AGCGAGGCAAAGCCGCGAGGCGGAGCGAAUCGCUAAAAGCCGUCCCAGUUCGGAUUGCAGGCUGCAACCCGCCUGCAUGAAGUUGGAAUCGCUAGUAAUCGCGGAUCAGCAUGCCGCGGUGAAUACGUUCCCGGGCCUUGUACACACCGCCCGUCACACCAUGAGAGUCGGGAACACCCGAAGUCCGUAGCCUGACCGCAAGGGGGGCGCGGCCGAAGGUGGGUUCGAUAAUUGGGGUGAAGUCGUAACAAGGUACC